AACAUAUCACAGACACGUGUAGAGUAAGUAAGUAUUCAAUCGUCUAAUUAAUUUAAUUGACUCUUAUUACAAAGCUCCAAGUAUAACCUAAACCUCUCUGAUUUUGAGAAUUAGAUAGGAAAAGUCUUUGUUGUUUUGUCAACUAGGAAAAAGUCAGGAGACAUGCAUGCCGUAAAAGUUUGAAUGGAAUCGGGUUGUCUCUACAAUUGACGAAAAUAACACUCCCAAGUGGGAGGUACGGGCUACUUUUCUCGUGUGUUUAAUUCAACCAACUCCCGGACUGGGCUUGGACCAGUUAGUAGUUUCCCUUUCUUUUCUUUCUUUUCUUUUAUUUUUCACUUCUUUUGCUUUGAUUUUUUUUUUUGUACAAACUUCUUUUGCUUUGAUAGCCGAGAGUAAAGAAAGCACAAUGGUUGCAGUAUUAGAAAACCUCAUUAUAAGCCACAGGCAACCCAUGACCUACAGUAGUGAAAUUAGGAUUUCAGAUUAAAGGGGAUCCUUCAUAAAAAAAAAAUUAAAAAUAGUUCGAAUAGGAGCCCUCAAACGCUAACGGGUUAAUUAAUAAUAUUAUUUCAUAUUGAUCAAUAAUUU
Molecule: long non-coding RNA, 591 nt
Filed under: Prunus persica (peach)
Lineage: Eukaryota; Viridiplantae; Streptophyta; Magnoliopsida; Rosales; Rosaceae
Description: long non-coding RNA (PPER_LNC003208)
Source: RNAcentral